RNAcentral lists this ribosomal RNA (743 nucleotides) under Helicotylenchus digonicus. Its description in RNAcentral is "LSU rRNA". It matches the Rfam family "Eukaryotic large subunit ribosomal RNA", at positions 391 to 964 of the family's 3401-position model. Lineage: Eukaryota; Metazoa; Nematoda; Chromadorea; Rhabditida; Hoplolaimidae. The record is from RNAcentral.
AAGAGGACGUGAAACCGAUGAGGUGGAAACGGACAGAGCUGGCGUAUCUGGCCUGCAUUCAGCCGCGCCCCGCUGGCGUCAGGGAUGCCGCUCUCCAGAUUGGGACGGUGGUCUGACUGCUCGGUGGGUUCCGUGGUGCAUUUGCAGGUGGAGUGCGCCGAGGCGCUCGGUGCAGCGGCAUGAGCUUGGCUUUGAGGCCAGCCUCGCAAGAGGUCUGGUACCCGGGUCAGGGGAGUGCUGUUUGCGCUGGGCGCAGCAAAGGGCAAUGGUCUCGGGCUCGUGUGGGUGCCGAGCUGGCGGUCGGCGUCGGUCGCGUGCGACACGUGCCAUCAGUCAGUUCGGUCCUGCUCGAGCUCACAUCUGCUCGACCUCGGUGUAAAAGCCGGUCAUCUGUCCGACCCGUCUUGAAACACGGACCAAGGAGUUUAGCGUGUGCGCGAGUCAUUGGGCGUUGAAAACCCAAAGGCGCAAUGAAAGUGAAUGCCUCCCUUGCGGAGCUGAUGUGUGAUCCUGGAUGCCUCGGCAUACUGGGCGCAACAUAGUCCCGUCCCGAUUGCUUGCAAUGGGGCGGAGACAGAGCGUACGCGCUGAGACCCGAAAGAUGGUGAACUAUUCCUGAGCAGGAUGAAGCCAGAGGAAACUCUGGUGGAAGUCCGAAGCGAUUCUGACGUGCAAAUCGAUCGUCUGACUUGGGUAUAGGGGCGAAAGACUAAUCGAACCAUCUAGUAGCUGGUUCCUUCCGA